GGGUUGUGAGGUUAAGCGACUAAGCGUACACGGUGGAUGCCCUGGCAGUCAGAGGCGAUGAAGGGCGUGCUAAUCUGCGAUAAGCGCCGGUAAGGUGAUAUGAACCGUUAUAACCGGCGAUACCCGAAUGGGGAAACCCAGUGUGAUUCGUCACACUAUCAUUAACUGAAUCCAUAGGUUAAUGAGGCGAACCGGGGGAACUGAAACAUCUAAGUACCCCGAGGAAAAGAAAUCAACCGAGAUUCCCCCAGUAGCGGCGAGCGAACGGGGAGGAGCCCAGAGCCUGAAUCAGCAUGUGUGUUAGUGGAAGCGUCUGGAAAGGCGCGCGAUACAGGGUGACAGCCCCGUACACAAAAGCGCAUGUGCUGUGAGCUCGAUGAGUAGGGCGGGACACGUGGUAUCCUGUCUGAAUAUGGGGGGACCAUCCUCCAAGGCUAAAUACUCCUGACUGACCGAUAGUGAACCAGUACCGUGAGGGAAAGGCGAAAAGAACCCCGGCGAGGGGAGUGAAAAAGAACCUGAAACCGUGUACGUACAAGCAGUGGGAGCCCCACCACUAAGCCAGUGGUGAACUCCACAUACGCAUCCUUUGCUGAGGAUACGGUUAACGGAGCGAAAGCGACGUUCAACCUCAAAAGAAGCAGAGGGGGCUUAGUGGUGGGGUGACUGCGUACCUUUUGUAUAAUGGGUCAGCGACUUAUAU
Molecule: ribosomal RNA, 703 nt
Filed under: Salmonella enterica subsp. enterica serovar Senftenberg
Lineage: Bacteria; Pseudomonadati; Pseudomonadota; Gammaproteobacteria; Enterobacterales; Enterobacteriaceae
Description: partial 23S ribosomal RNA
Rfam family: Bacterial large subunit ribosomal RNA
Source: RNAcentral